RNAcentral lists this ribosomal RNA (292 nucleotides) under uncultured bacterium. Its description in RNAcentral is "partial 16S ribosomal RNA". The record is from RNAcentral. RNAcentral also lists the same sequence under 2 other names.
GGACUACUAGGGUAUCUAAUCCCGUUUGCUCCCCUAGCUUUCGCGCCUCAGCGUCAGAAGAGAUCCAGUGCGUCGCUUUCGCCUCCGGCGUUCCUUCCAAUAUCAACGCAUUUCACCGCUCCACUGGAAGUUCCACACACCCCUAUCUCCCUCCAGACGAUCAGUAUCAGAGGCACUUCUCCAGUUAAGCUGCAGGAUUUCACCCCUGACUUGAUCGACCGCCUACGCGCCCUUUAAGCCCAGUGAUUCCGAACAACGUUUGGACAGUUCGUCUUACCGCGGCUGCUGGCAC